This 345-nucleotide ribosomal RNA is filed under the name Epiperipatus sp. MZUSP 0018. RNAcentral describes it as "partial 16S ribosomal RNA". Lineage: Eukaryota; Metazoa; Onychophora; Udeonychophora; Euonychophora; Peripatidae. The record is from RNAcentral.
AGACUUGAAUGAAUGAAUGAAUGGGGUGGUACUUUCUUUAAUUUAAAAUUAAAAUUAAUUUUUUUAGUGCAGAAACUAAAAUAAGUAUAAGGGACGAGAAGACCCUAUUAAGCUUUAUAGAAUUAUUUUGUUGGGGAAACAGAAGGGAAAAUUCUCUUCAAUUUUUUUUUUUGAUAAAAUUUGAUUUAUUAUUAGUGAUAAAAGAAUAAGUUACUAUAGGGGUAACAGCAUAAUUUUUUUGGGAAGUACUUAUUUAUAAAAAAGAUUAUGACCUCGAUGUUGGAUUAAAAAAAUUGUAUUAUGUAGUUGUUAUAUAAAUUAGUCUGUUCGACUAUUAAAAUUUUA